RNAcentral lists this long non-coding RNA (7038 nucleotides) under Musa acuminata (dwarf banana). RNAcentral describes it as "long non-coding RNA (MACU_LNC001515)". The record is from RNAcentral. Lineage: Eukaryota; Viridiplantae; Streptophyta; Magnoliopsida; Zingiberales; Musaceae.
CUAAAAAAAAGUUGUGGUUCUAAAUUAGGCCAAAAUAAAAGUUUGAAAAGAAAGAUAAAUUCUUAAUCCAAUGCGUAAAGAGCAAUCCACUGCAAAUUGGAAGAAGAAAAUGGUUAUGCUGUCAAGUUCUCUUAUACCCCUGUCAAUUAUUCUUAUCACAACUUCACCACAAGUGACAUCUUGGAGUCCGUCCAUUUUCAUCAUUAAUUUCCAAUCCAAGAUGUCAAUACUUCACUAUCGAUGCUUUAACAACGGAGAAAUUUAAAUCCAGAAAGAAAGACACAUAUAACCAGCAGUUUCAUUCUACUCCAGCCGAAUCGCGUAAGAUGCUUUCAUGAUCCAAUGAAUAAAAUGCGUCUAGAUUCACUCGAAUAAAUUACAUGGGGCCAUAUAUUUUUAAGAUUAUUCCAUAUAUAUACACUUGAUUUACCCAACGAGGAAAGCAUGAACAAACAUACGAUGAGCAAACCCUCGAGAUGAGAACAGACAGAACAGACGGAAACCAGAUCGAGGUGGAGGAUAUCAUAGAAUCGAACCUGCACGAAUCGCCGAGGCCCAGCGGAGAUGGUGAUUCGCCGUUCAACAGUGGAAGCCAUCGGCAUGCGAUCAAUCGAUAUAGUUCUGAAAGAAGAAGGAGGCGAGAAAAGGGGGUCGGCGAAGUGCACAAAGAGCGUGAGGCGAACAGAGGGAGCGAAAGCGCGCGAGGGAGAUGCAUUUUUCUGUACACUAUGCGAUCGAUACCUGUCCCGCUAUUUGUAGACCGCCACUGUGAUUAGACGAGCAGUGGGGCCCAUAAAAGGAGCCCGUCACAGCCAAGCAGGUAGGUUUGUUGGCUACGCUUUGGCAUUUAAGGGCAUGGAUGGGUGACCGUUACGAUCAAAUCCUGACCGUCGAUAACUUUAACGUUCAUCGUAUCACGUGCGUUGCACGUGUUUCUGCAUAACAUCUAUUUGCAUUCAAUAUAUAAAAUAUCACAUCGAGAAGAGAUAGAGAAAGACAUAGAAAUAUUUUAAUAAAUUAUUUUUUUAAUAUUUUUAACUAAAUAUAUUAUUUUUUUAUGUAUCUCAACUAUAUUAAAAAUUAUAUAUAAUCAACUUAAAUAGUUAGAAUUUUAUAAUUUUAUUAUUGUUGUUAAAUAUAAUCAUCCCGAAUUCAUGAUAAUAAAAGACUAUCAUCACCUUCAUUAUCACAAAGAUGACAUCAAUGGAAGUCCAUCGCGGGGCAAAAUUGAGUAAUGCAAUAAAAUAUUACUUUUGAAUACACAGCAAAGAAACUUUAAAACAUGUAAAUCUUAGAUCAUCUGAAAGCAUAUAUGUACAUACUGCCACUGUUUGAUGACACAACAUGAGUACAAAGAUUCUACCAGCUCAUAAGGGGUCCCAAUUACACGCGCUAAUAUCACCAAAAGUAUGAUGUAGCCCAUAAGUGCUACUAAAUACAUUCACUAAUAUCACUAGAAGUAGUUGCCUGUGCAUAUGCAAAUAUGCGACACAAUGUUAAUUUUUGAGAGUUCUUCACAGUCAAAUGUGCAUCGAUUGUUCUUGUCCAUGAAGAACACGUUACUGAUACCAAGAGCAAUUUAAUCUUCUUUUCCAGUUUAUUCCCAUUCAAGGACACUGCGUUCAAUCGGCGAACCAGGAACAAAUGGAACAAAACCUCGCCCACCAAACAUUGGGCGCAUGAAGGCAUCAUCAAACUUGCGCCAGUAAUGGUGAACAGAGCGGGAUGGUGUCAUCAGAAGCAUCCGUAGGCUUGUCGGGCGAGGUAUGCUAUGCCCAGUUUCAAGCUCCGAACCCUGUCCAUUGCCAAGCAGUGGAGAAAGGAAAGAUUUUGGACUUGAAGGCUCCGAUGAGAGACUCAGAGAUCUGGUGAGAUGCUUCAUGCUUGGAGGCAGCAAGAAGUAAAUGAGAGGCUUAGUCAUCAAUCCGAACACCUAAGCAAACGUGGAACAUCAGCACAAAUCUUUACGGCAAAUAAAUUUAUAAUUUUACCUGACAGAACAAUCCAACAACAAAAAUUGAUGUCUUGACAGUCAUCCUAGAGGAAAACAGUCUCAGAUCUUCUACUUUUUCAUUCUUUUGACAAAAUAUAAAGCAAGUUAAAUUUCAAUUCCGGUUAACAAGACCUAAAAUCUUGAGAAAAUCAUCUCUGAGAACAUAAAGGUAGAAUACUAAAUAUAUUUGUUCUUUUGCUGUCGGGGAUAAAUUUAGUGUAUAAGAUGAUCUAGACAAAAAUACCAAUAUCAGUUCCUAAACAAUGGCCAGUAAGCUUCAGAUGGGUACAUCAAAAUUUCAUUUCAAAAUGAACAUAUAAGAUCACUUUAGAAGAAUGCAUGAAGUUCAUCUGGACAGUGAUUAUAACAGAAUCAUGUGGAUCUUUUCCAGCAGGGAAGACAAAUCCAAAAAAGGAUAGAUAUGAGCAGAGACUUAAUAGCAUCCAAUACUAUUCACCUCCAACAGUUGAAAUCAAUACAUGCAAUCAGUAACUGACCUAGUAUCAUGUUAUUCUAGCACCAGGAAACAAGGAAAUGAAAUGUAUCUUACCAUUGUACUGAAAAGAACAACGGUGAUGGUGCUGGUGAUCAUAAAUGCAUUUCCACGCUGGUGAGUAUGGCCAGAUCUAGUAAACUGCAGAAUUACCAUAUAUAACUUUAUCAACAUAAAAGACUUGCAAGUUGUUUGACAUGCAAUAGAUAUAACAUGAUAGACACUUGUUGGAUAUGCACAGUACUUGGUACAUUAAAUAAAGUACAUCAAUAAUCAAACUACAAAAUUUUGUAUUUUCCUAGUGUACUGGAGUACAACAUGCUGUACCAACACACAUACAGGUCCAAGACAGGACAGUACAACUCAGUGUUCAACAUUUAAAUGCUAGACCAUGAAACCUGCUUUGUUUUUAGAAAACCAGAAAAAAAACACAAGGACAAAUUUUCUCUUUUUUGAUUGUAGAUUCAUAGAAAAGAGAAAUGAUGAUAGUUGGUGCUGCCGUAACCGUUGAUGUAAUUAUUGAUCUAUAAAAGAUUGCUUCUGGAGCUAGAAAGUGAUGACUUUUCAUUUUAUUGAUGAGAGAGCAAGUUGACCUGAUUGUAAGCAAGUGCAAUUGAUACCGCACCUCUCAUAAGACCUGCCCACCAGAUUAUAACCUGUUGAUAAUUCGAGAUAUGUUACUGUACUUGAUGAGUGAAAACUAGGCAAAUGAUAAAUACGCAUGGAAAACAAUUACUUGCUGCUUAAAGGUAAUUUUGUCAUUCUGAGAUCUUUUACUUAAGUUGGAGAUGAAAGAUAGUGGAAAGACAAAAGCAGCUCUGCCAAUCAAUACCAAGCCCAACAGAAUUGAGCUCAAACCAACUGAUUUUCCAGGGCUGUAAGCAAGAGAUAUUGUUAGAUGUCCAGCAACCAAUUGUAUUGCACUAAUAAACCAAGUAUGCAUAAAAUGCAGACAAUUUAUGUUUCUAACCAAGCAUGUUAUGAAAUAGAUGAAUUAAGAAUGGAAAUUCUAAAUAUACAACUCUGCACUGAGUAUCCACUAGACAGAAAUGAUCUAUUAUACAAGUUCAGAGUGGCAGAUUCUAUCUUGUUGCUUAGCUUUGUUUAUGAUAUUGAACAAACUAGUAAUUAUUCAAUCAAUAGAUGCCCAACAUGAUAAAAAAGUAGUAAAUUAUAUCAUAAGAUAUAUCAUGGCCCAUAUAUCACAAUUAUGAAUGGAGACCUCAGAUAAUAUUGACAACUGCUAGUCAAAAAUAGCAAAGAUGGUUUAAUCACGAGACUACAGCAUUCGAGCAAUAAAACAUAAGCAAAACAUGGAGUGAUCAGAAAUAUAACAAACCUGUUGCUGACAAACUGCCACUUCUCAAUGUCUAAUGCAUCCAUUCCAACAUAUAGAAAAAGAAAAACUUCAGCAAUAAAUGACAAGGUUGCAAAGGCAUGCCUGAAUUGACAAGUAAAAGAUUAAAAAAAUGUAGUCUGAUUUGUAUAAACAGCCAACGGAGAUAAGGACGAAGUAUAUGUACUUUGUGGUGAUCCUAGAACUCUCGGUCACAUUAUGCCAGGUGUAGUGCGACAUUACUAUCCCACAGAAGAAUACUGUAAGAAUGCCGCUUAAAUCUAACAGCUGCAAGACACAUUAAUAUUUAGAAGUAAUGAUUUUAGGGUGAUCUCAACCAAAUCCAGCAUACUGGAGACAUAAGAAAACUGAUGUUUACUUGGUGAUUUAGGAGAAGAAACUCACUUCAGCUAGCAUAUAAGAAAGAUAAGCCAUAAGAAUCAUAAGAGCAACUUCUCGAUCAGUUGAAUGUCUGGAUAGGGAUCAGAAACAAAAGUAAGCAAUGAUAUAUUUACACAGAACCGAUUUAGAAUAUUUUAUGUUUAAUCAUUUAAACUUCCAAAAAUGAAAAACACAGCAGUGGUUCAAUUGAACCUCCGAUCCUUUCAGCACUGCUAUGCUACGAAUGGUUCUCUACGUGUGACCAAUAUAUAAAAAGAAAGUUUAAGGAAAGGUUGACUUUCUUUUCACAAACCUUCCGAAAUACAACUUUUUUAUGAUAUAAGCACUAAGCAAUCCUCCCUGUUAGCAAAAGAGGAAAAUAUCAACUAAAAUAUAUAACAGCAAACAAGAGAGGAGAGCAGAGAAUUUUCAUAGCAAAUCAUCAUUAAUCAAAACUUACAAGUGCUCCGAGCAAGGUGCUUGUAGAAAAUAGAUAAAAGAAGUUGGCAACAAAUUUUAACACAACUGUGACAUCCAUAUGAACCAGAUCAAAUUUCUGGAUUGCAUUGAAAAGCACCACCGAUGUAGCAUCAUUUACGACACCUUCACCAAAAACCAGGCUAUAAAGCAAAGGUGUCUCAUCCUGGUUAAGCACCUGAUUUUUCAGUAAUGAAUUUCAAAAAUCAGUGAGCUGUUAUGUUACAAAGGACACACAUAAAAGAAAUCUGCUAGAGUUGAGAACCUGCAGAGUGCAAACAGAAUCAGUUGCAGAAAAGAUUGCCCCAAUCGCUAUAGAAAAGAAAAAGGACCAAAUAGAUGAUUAGCAAAAAGAGAAAGGAGAAAAAUUAAUCAGAUACAAGGAGGACCAAGCAAGGAAUGCAUCCGCAAGAGUAUUUACCAAGAUAAUCUCCAAUUUCCAGUGCACCUAUAUCCAUUUUUCUGAAGAUUUCCACAGCACCUGGACCAGAAUUGAGGUCAAGAAUGAACAAUUCUCAACAUGAAAAUCUUGAUACACUUGCAUCAAUCAUAUGAAAGAAAUGAUUGAUCCCAAUCACAUAGAUAUAGAUAGACUAUUUUAAAUUUUUCUUAUAGAGGCAAAUAAGAUUACUUACUAUCCUGUAUGAGGCAUAGAUUGCCUGUGAGCUACUUGGAUACUACACCUGAAAUUACACCAACUUUUAACAAAGAUAAAAGCCAGAGGACAAACUUUCUACCGUAUGCUAUAAUUUGAUUGCUUAUAUCACUACAACUACUUUUUUAGGCACGGGACAAGCUAAAAAUCAUCAACGAUGGUCCAAAACAAAUAAAAAGACCGUGUCCUUCAUGUUAGUAAUUUGAUGACUAUAAAUCAGCAACACUUGUAUUCUGGACAUAUCUUAACAGUCUGUCUGCUGAUUUUUUCCUAAAUCCCGACAAUGUAAGAAGUUAAUCUAGGAGACUUUUCUCCAAGUCUGUUUAGCAAAUAUGCUCAAUGAGUCAUCAUGAUUUUUAAAAACGAAGGCAGAAACCAACAUCAUGAUGUUUUCUUGACUACACAUAUAUCUGAAUAAUUAAAUUCGAACUUAGAGAAUGCAACUAUUUGAGGAAUGAUGUAACAACCAAACGGUGGUGGUAGCGAAUUAUUUUUUAAAGCAAUACAAAGUACUUCUGAACUUCAGAUUUGUUUCCUUACCGAUUGAAAUUAUAACAGCUAAUGCAUGUCAAUCCAUAUUCAGUACUUCAGAUUUGUUUCCUUACCGAUUGAAAUUAUUAUGAAGGAGAUCAAAGUUCCUACUGCACCAAACAGCAUAAUUGUUAUGAAGUUGCGGAAGAACUGCUUUUUCUUUACUUGGAACCUGAUCCACAAGCAAUCAAGUUUUAUGAAAAAAAUGAUAUAGCCAUUCAGCUUGAGAAUCCAGAUUAGUUAAUAUAAGAUAUACUUGCAGAAAAGCAAGAUAAUACAUGCAAAUGGUGGAGCAAGAACGGUUUUGAGCCUGGUUAGUUACACAAAGGUAAGGUGAUAAAAAUUAUAAUUCCAAAAUGGCAUACAGUAAACCAAAAACCUAAGUAAAAAAGGAAUUCUGAGGAUUUCAGAAAAAUAAUAUGUAGAACAAACUUUUAAUAAUUGAAGUGGAUUACCAGCUAGCUUAAAAUGAAAAGCAUUAUUCUUAUCUUGAAUACACAUCAGUUCCUGACUAUAACAUGUUGGAAAGAAAUUAAUCGAAAUUAAUGGACUAAAGUUGAAAAGGACAUCUCCUAGGCUUGCCAUUUAGUUGGUUUCAGUGAUUGCUGUACCGCCCAAAAUAGUACGAAAUGAGCAGUAUGCAUUGGUUCAAGCAUGGGCCAGUACACAGACCAUCCCUGUUUCGGGCGGCCUAGUCCAGUUUGAUGAAAAUAAUUAAAAAAUUGAAAAUAGUGGUGGGGCCAUCUGACUUGACACUAAAAACAGAAAAAAUCCUAAAAUAUAAAUUAGGGCUCCUGAACGCCAGCCCUCUUCUCGCGUUCUACCAUUGCCGCUGCGUGCCUUCUUCUUUUCAGGUAUGCUCCCACCUUUUCUCCUCCUCAUCUUCAUUCUUUCUUCACCUCCACCACUUCUUCUUCCUCCUCCAUCGCUUCCUCUUCUUCCUCCUUCCUCUUUUGUACCUCCACUGCCCCUUCCUUUUCUUCCUCUUUUUCUUCCUCUCUAAAACACUGGUACAUACUGGGGUAUUAACACAUGGUACACCGAUAUUGACCGGUAUGUACCAGUGCAAUAGAUCACCAAAACGGAUCCAGUAUCCAAAACAAUGAUCCUUGGUUGGUUUAUCAAACGGUUUCAGAAUUCUCCAAAUUCAAACAAUCUGUGAGUUCAUUUUU